GCUAUAUCAGCCAACUCACACAACAACAAACACAUUCACACACACAACACCUAAAACACACACACACUUCACGCCAUUUUCAUUUUAGCUUGAGCUCAAGCUUUUGACUUCCGAUUUGAGCACCGAGACGAGCGCCGAUCAUCUUUUCGAUCACGUAUCUAAGUAGGUCCUUUUGGGAAGUAACGACUUGAGGGAGAGAGUGACGUUACUCAUUGAUACAGAGACACAACGAGGUUGAGCUGAUGUGAUGAUGGUGCUGCAAUGAGCGGAGUCUCCAGGGUUGUUAAUAAAUAGUUAACCUGUCUAGAAUAUGUCUUCAUACAUAUGUCUAGCUACUUUCCGCUGCAAGAUGUUGUUGAUGUUAUAGUAUGUUAUGUCAUACUUUGAGUCUUAAGAGAAUGGUUUCAUACGAUGUAUAACUUGAUUAAUGAUAUUAAUUAAGUUUUAUGCUGUCUUUCA
This is a long non-coding RNA of Salvia miltiorrhiza (redroot sage), 459 nucleotides long. RefSeq lists it as uncharacterized. NCBI's taxonomy places the organism in Eukaryota, Viridiplantae, Streptophyta, Magnoliopsida, Lamiales, Lamiaceae. The transcript has 3 exons. The record is from RefSeq and is a predicted model, not a curated record.